Molecule: ribosomal RNA, 253 nt
Filed under: uncultured bacterium
Lineage: Bacteria
Description: partial 16S ribosomal RNA
Rfam family: Bacterial small subunit ribosomal RNA
Source: RNAcentral
UACGAAGGGUGCAAGCGUUGCUCGGAAUUAUUGGGCGUAAAGGGUAGGUAGGUGGUUGCGUAUGUCUGGGGUGAAAUCCCUGAGCUUAACUCAGGACGUGCCUUGGAAACGGCGUAACUAGAGUACUAGAGAGGUUCGUGGAAUUCCUGGUGUAGCGGUGAAAUGCGUAGAGAUCAGGAGGAACAUCAGAGGCGAAGGCGACGAACUGGAUAGUAACUGACACUCAACUACGAAAGCGUGGGGAGCAAACAGG